RNAcentral lists this non-coding RNA (79 nucleotides) under uncultured alveolate. The record is from RNAcentral.
ACUGCGCCAUCAGGCUGGCGACGCUGGCGGAGUUGUGGCACCGGCCGUUGCCCGAAGGAGUGGCGGACUGCACGAGGCU